UACGGGGGGGGCAAGCAGUGUUCAGAAUUACUGGGCGUAAAGGGCUCGUAGGUGGCCAACUAAGUCAGACGUGAAAUCCCUCGGCUUAACCGGGGAACUGCGUCUGAUACUGGAUGGCUUGAGGUUGGGAGAGGGAUGCGGAAUUCCAGGUGUAGCGGUGAAAUGCGUAGAUAUCUGGAGGAACACCGGUGGCGAAGGCGGCAUCCUGGACCAAUUCUGACGCUGAGGAGCGAAAGCCAGGGGAGCAAACGGG
RNAcentral lists this ribosomal RNA (253 nucleotides) under uncultured bacterium. RNAcentral describes it as "partial 16S ribosomal RNA". It matches the Rfam family "Bacterial small subunit ribosomal RNA", at positions 524 to 776 of the family's 1533-position model. The record is from RNAcentral.